UUUGCAUACCUAAAGGGAAAUGGCCUCUUUAAUUUCUUUCCCUUCUCCUAAUCAGCUGAGGCCUAUUAAGAAGUGCUCUGUAUCCUGUAAUCAGACAAUUUAUACAGCAUGCACCCUUAGGCAACAGCUAUUAUAAACAAGCUGGAGAAAUCCUUUACAAUAAAUGAUUAGCAUGGGAAGACACCAUUCAUAAUUAAUUUUUUUUUCUGUUUUUGUUGGCAGAUGGUCCGAGGCAUCCAAGCAUGGCCUAUUGCCUGUGUCUUUAUUCUGAACAGAACAGGGCAGCCUUGGGAAAAUGCUGGCUGCUCAGCUAGCUCACUUAAAAAAAAUCACGUAAGCACUCCCUCUGCUCCUCUUAUUGGUGUUCAAGGCUUGAAGAGAGCUUUAGGGAAGGGUGUCUAAUGGAUCACAUGACUGUACCUACUGGUCCUUUUCCUGCCUUGUUAAUUACAAGGUGUUAUGAUCUUCACCACAGAUUGAUUACAUAAAGGGGAUCAUUUCUUCAUCCCCACCAUUUGCCAUGUAACUUUGUCAUGCCCUGUAUCUCUGACUCUGGCCUCUGUCAUUGACUUGCUGUGCCAAUGUUAGCAAAUGUGAAGCACACACAGGCUUGAAUAGCACUGUGCAACGGGACUUGUUAACACUUACCUUCUACUGUUGCUACAUGAACAUGCCCAGGCUAGCCUGAUGGAUGAUGAGAGACAUGUGGAAUAGAGCAGAGUCACCACAUUCAUCUCAGCUGAGACCUUUCUAGAUGGGUCAACAGCCCUCUACCCCCAGACGUGUGAGCCAGCCCAGCCAAGAUCAGCCAAGUCCAACCUGAAUAAUUGAACACUGAGGUCUUGUUGCAGAAUAAAAGUGUAUUAUUGUAACCCACAGUGGCUUUAUGAUUUUUAAUUAUGCAGCAGUAUUGUGGCAGCAGAUAAUUGAUACAGCCCUCAAAUGGAUAAUCUCUUUGGGUAUGGAGAAACAGGAUUUGGAAACCCAUAAGUGUAAGCC
RNAcentral lists this long non-coding RNA (999 nucleotides) under Homo sapiens (human). Its description in RNAcentral is "HSALNT0230925". The record is from RNAcentral. Lineage: Eukaryota; Metazoa; Chordata; Mammalia; Primates; Hominidae.